RNAcentral lists this ribosomal RNA (875 nucleotides) under uncultured archaeon. Its description in RNAcentral is "bacterial SSU rRNA". It matches the Rfam family "Archaeal small subunit ribosomal RNA", at positions 21 to 903 of the family's 1478-position model. The record is from RNAcentral.
CCUGACUGCUAUCGGAUUGAUACUAAGCCAUGUGAGUCAUUGUAGCAAUACAAGGCAGACGGCUCAGUAACACGUAGCCAACCUACCCUAUGGACGGGGAUAACCUCGGGAAACUGAGGAUAAACCCCGAUAGAUCAUAAUGCCUGGAACGGUUUAUGGUCCAAAUGAUUCGUCGCCGUAGGAUGGGACUGCGGCCUAUCAGCUUGUUGGUGAGGUAAUGGCCCACCAAGGCUAUUACAGGUACGGGCUCUGAGAGGAGAAGCCCGGAGAUGGGUACUGAGACACGGACCCAGGCCCUAUGGGGCGCAGCAGGCGAGAAAACUUUGCAAUGUGCGCAAGCACGACAAGGUUAAUCCGAGUGAUUCCUGCUAAAGGAAUCUUUUGCUAGUCCUAAAAACACUAGCGAAUAAGGGGUGGGCAAGUUCUGGUGUCAGCCGCCGCGGUAAAACCAGCACCUCAAGUGGUCAGGAGGAUUAUUGGGCCUAAAGCAUCCGUAGCCUGCUCUGUAAGUUUCCGGUUAAAUCCAUUAGCUCAACUGAUGGGCCGCCGGAAAAACUGCAAAGCUAGGGAGUGGGAGAGGUAGACGGUACUCGGUAGGAAGGGGUAAAAUCCUUUGAUCUAUUGAUGACCACCUGUGGCGAAGGCGGUCUACCAGAACACGUUCGACGGUGAGGGAUGAAAGCUGGGGGAGCAAACCGGAUUAGAUACCCGGGUAGUCCCAGCUGUAAACGAUGCAGACUCGGUGAUGCCCUGGCUUGUGGCCAGUGCAGUGCCGCAGGGAAGCCGUUAAGUUUGCCGCCUGGGAAGUACGUACGCAAGUAUGAAACUUAAAGGAAUUGGCGGGGGAGCACCACAAGGGGUGAAGCCUGCGGUUC